RNAcentral lists this ribosomal RNA (245 nucleotides) under uncultured Aureitalea sp. Its description in RNAcentral is "partial 16S ribosomal RNA". It matches the Rfam family "Bacterial small subunit ribosomal RNA", at positions 524 to 768 of the family's 1533-position model. The record is from RNAcentral. Lineage: Bacteria; Pseudomonadati; Bacteroidota; Flavobacteriia; Flavobacteriales; Flavobacteriaceae.
UACGGAGGAUCCGAGCGUUAUCCGGAAUCAUUGGGUUUAAAGGGUCCGUAGGCGGGCAUCUAAGUCAGUGGUGAAAUCCGGCAGCUCAACUGUCGAACUGCCAUUGAUACUGGAUGUCUUGAAUUACUGUGAAGUGGUUAGAAUAUGUAGUGUAGCGGUGAAAUGCUUAGAUAUUACAUGGAAUACCAAUUGCGAAGGCAGAUCACUAACAGUAUAUUGACGCUGAGGGACGAAAGCGUGGGUAG